Molecule: ribosomal RNA, 492 nt
Filed under: uncultured Propionibacterium sp.
Lineage: Bacteria; Bacillati; Actinomycetota; Actinomycetes; Propionibacteriales; Propionibacteriaceae
Description: partial 16S ribosomal RNA
Source: RNAcentral
CACGUAGUUAGCCGGUGCUUCUUUACCCAUUACCGUCACCCACGCUUCGUCACAGGCGAAAGCGGUUUACAACCCGAAGGCCGUCAUCCCGCACGCGGCGUUGCUGCAUCAGGCUUCCGCCCAUUGUGCAAUAUUCCCCACUGCUGCCUCCCGUAGGAGUCUGGGCCGUAUCUCAGUCCCAAUGUGGCCGGUCACCCUCUCAGGCCGGCUACCCGUCAAAGCCUUGGUAAGCCACUACCCCACAACAAGCUGAUAAGCCGCGAGUCCAUCCCCAACCGCCGAAACUUUCCAACCCCCACCACUGCAGCAGGAGCCCCUAUCCGGUAUUAGCCCCAGUUUCCUGAAGUUAUCCCAAAGUCAAGGGCAGGUUACUCACGUGUUACUCACCCGUUCGCCACUCGAGCACCCCACAAAAGCAGGGCCUUUCCGUUCGACUUGCAUGUGUUAAGCACGCCGCCAGCGUUCGUCCUCGAGCCAGGAGUCAAACCUCUA